Molecule: ribosomal RNA, 176 nt
Filed under: uncultured Vibrio sp.
Lineage: Bacteria; Pseudomonadati; Pseudomonadota; Gammaproteobacteria; Vibrionales; Vibrionaceae
Description: partial 16S ribosomal RNA
Rfam family: Bacterial small subunit ribosomal RNA
Source: RNAcentral
CUUACAGUCGUGAGGAAGGGUGUGUAGUUAAUAGCUGCAYCUYUUGACGUUASCGACAGAAGAAGCACCGGCUAACUCCGUGCCAGCAGCCGCGCUAAUACGGAGGGUGCGAGCGUUAAUCGGAAUUACUGGGCGUAAAGCGCAUGCAGGUGGUUCAUUAAGUCAGAUGUGAAAGC